AGCAAUGCCGCGUGUGUGAAGAAGGCCUUCGGGUUGUAAAGCACUUUUGUCCGGAAAGAAAUGGCUCUGGUUAAUACCUGGGGUCGAUGACGGUACCGGAAGAAUAAGGACCGGCUAACUACGUGCCAGCAGCCGCGGUAAUACGUAGGGUCCAAGCGUUAAUCGGAAUUACUGGGCGUAAAGCGUGCGCAGGCGGUUGUGCAAGACCGAUGUGAAAUCCCCGAGCUUAACUUGGGAAUUGCAUUGGUGACUGCACGGCUAGAGUGUGUCAGAGGGGGGUAGAAUUCCACGUGUAGCAGUGAAAUGCGUAGAGAUGUGGAGGAAUACCGAUGGCGAAGGCAGCCCCCUGGGAUAACACUGACGCUCAUGCACGAAAGCGUGGGGAGCAAACAGGAUUAGAUACCCUGGUAGUCCACGCCCUAAACGAUGUCAACUAGUUGUUGGGGAUUCAUUUCCUUAGUAACGUAGCUAACGCGUGAAGUUGACCGCCUGGGGAGUAC
Molecule: ribosomal RNA, 500 nt
Filed under: uncultured Ralstonia sp.
Lineage: Bacteria; Pseudomonadati; Pseudomonadota; Betaproteobacteria; Burkholderiales; Burkholderiaceae
Description: bacterial SSU rRNA
Rfam family: Bacterial small subunit ribosomal RNA
Source: RNAcentral